AUGCUUAACACAUGCAAGUCGAACGGAAACGAGAAAUAGCUUGCUAUUUCGGCGUCGAGCGGCGGACGGGUGAGUAAUGCUUGGGAAUAUGCCUUUGAGUGGGGGACAACAGUUGGAAACGACUGCUAAUACCGCAUAACGUCUACGGACCAAAGGGGGGGAUGCUUCGGCACCUCUCGCUCAUAGAUUAGCCCAAGUGAGAUUAGCUAGUUGGUAAGGUAAGAGCUUACCAAGGCGACGAUCUCUAGCUGGUUUGAGAGGAUGAUCAGCCACACUGGGACUGAGACACGGCCCAGACUCCUACGGGAGGCAGCAGUGGGGAAUAUUGCACAAUGGGGGAAACCCUGAUGCAGCCAUGCCGCGUGUGUGAAGAAGGCCUUCGGGUUGUAAAGCACUUUCAGUUGUGAGGAAAGGGAUGUAGUUAAUAGCUGCAUUCUGUGACGUUAGCAACAGAAGAAGGACCGGCUAACUCCGUGCCAGCAGCCGCGGUAAUACGGAGGGUCCGAGCGUUAAUCGGAAUUACUGGGCGUAAAGCGUGCGUAGGCGGUUUGUUAAGCGAGAUGUGAAAUCCCGGGGCUCAACCUCGGAACUGCAUUUCGAACUGGCAGGCUAGAAUACUGUAGAGGGUGGUGGAAUUUCCAGUGUAGCGGUGAAAUGCGUAGAGAUCGGAAGGAACACCAGUGG
Molecule: ribosomal RNA, 684 nt
Filed under: uncultured bacterium
Lineage: Bacteria
Description: bacterial SSU rRNA
Rfam family: Bacterial small subunit ribosomal RNA
Source: RNAcentral